Long non-coding RNA from Diorhabda carinulata, 7554 nucleotides. RefSeq lists it as uncharacterized. Lineage: Eukaryota; Metazoa; Arthropoda; Insecta; Coleoptera; Chrysomelidae. The record is from RefSeq and is a predicted model, not a curated record. The transcript is spliced from 4 exons.
UUGUCGCUUCACUCUAACGAGACAUUUUAACACGCUACCAAAUCAAAUAAAAAUAAUCCCCUCACUCUGUACUAAUAAACUAGACUGAAGCAACCUGUCUACACUCGUUUAGUCGGCGUUUUAGUUGUCGGAAAGCAGUGGUGGGAGAAACUACUUACUCAAGUAAAUAGAAAUUGUUUCUAUUCAAUUGACUAAACAGUUUACUAAAUUAGGUAUUUGCGCAAGUACUAUUUCAAGUUGUUUUCACCAUACAAGUAACUAAAUUUAGCUACUUGAUUUGGUAACUUGCUUUAGGUACUUGACACGUUUAAAAUCGGCUAUAUUUUUAAGUUUUAUGCAUUUUUAGUUAUUUAGUUUUGAUACUGUCAAAAGAUAAAAAAGAAGAAGAGGGGACCUUGAUAAAAACAUAGUAGCUAGUAAACCUGAUAAUGAAAGUAUUAAUAAAUAAAACUACUAGUAAAUAAAUAUAUUUUUAAUAAAAGAAGCAAUUGAACAAUAAACAACGAUACAUGGUGUCAGAAGCUUAGUCGAAAAUCGCCGACAGCUUAAAAAGAAUAAAAAAUAAAAGUUAGACAGAAGCCAUUUUCCCUCCAAUAAAUAUAAUAAAAAACGAGAAGUUAAAAAUAAGAAAAUCGUACGGAUGUAUCAAAAGUGUAGUGAAAAAUGGAAUACUUCAAGUCCCCGGAAGCGUUUAACGUACAGGAGCCACAUGGAUGGUCCAAAUGGAAGCAAAUAUUUGAAAUAUUUUUGUUAGCUUCAGGAAAAAGCACUACUUGUAUAUCUAUAAUACAUUUGAAACAACCAAAACUUCAAAACUAGAUGAUGUGUUAUUUUGUUUUGAUGAUCAUUUCUUACCCAAAGAAAUGACAAACAGCACCAAAUCAAGUGGUAAGAACGAGGUAAUUAUUCUAAUUCCAAAUAGCCAGAAAACAGGAGGCAGGAAGAAUAUCGGUCAAAUGAACAAGAUGAAGCUGAGGCUAAGAAACUAACAUCAGAAGUACAGGUUUUGGGCAAUGUAAACUCAGAAUUCAGAUAUUAUAAGUAGGGACAAUGGAGGUAUUGAGAAUUCUAUUUUUAUUAAUGAGCAUAAGCCAAAUAUUAAAAACAAUAGCUGGUAUGAACCUAUUACUGUUAACAAUAUGGACAAUUGACAUUAUGUUUAAGCUUGAAACAGGAGCUGAAUCUAGCGUUGUACCUUUGAAAUAUUUUAAUGAUCUAAAUGUUGAUAAAUCUAAAAUUAUUUCAACAUCCAUGACAAUAAUUUCCUAUUGAAAUUUUAAAUCGAAACCUCUAGGUCACAUAAUACUUGAGUGUUUUUAUAAAAGUCAAUUUAAAAAUGUUGAAUUUUUUAUAGUUGAUUUAGAGUCAGGGCCUUCACUGGAGUUAGGUGAUUGUUUACAUUUUAACAUGAUAUCUAGAGUAAGUAUAGUAGAAGAUGAAAUACCAGUUAUACAAACACAAAGGAAGGUACCAUUGGCCUUUAAUGAAAAACUCAAAUCAACGUUAGAUGAUCUUGAACAAAAAAGUAUAAUUUCUAAAGUUGAGUAUCCAACUGAUUGGGUUAAUUCAUUGAUGAUUAUUAAGAAUUCUAAUGGAUUACUUUGUUUGUGUUUAGAUCCAAAACCAUUGAACAAAUAUAUUUGUCGAGAGCAUUAUAUUAUUCCUAGGUGUGACGAAAUUUUAGCUAAGCUGGAAGGAAAAGCAAUUUAAUCUGUAAUUUAACUUUGAUAAGCUGCAAUAUAAAAUGGCAUUGUUAAUUUGUUAGAUCAAAUCAUAACAAAAAAUGGAACACAACCUUCUAAAAAAAAUGUACAAGCUGUUUCGGCUAUUGAAAAACUUUUAGACACAAGAUAUUUACCUAGUCCUACAGAACUAGAAUUCACUAUUCAUGCACUCUCUUUAACUGUACCGAUGUCUGCAGAAAAGGAAAUUGUUUUUCAAAAUUCUGUUAAUAAUGAUUGUUGAAUAACUCAUAGCCCAACACUGAUAAAAAGUUGACUUCUGAAUUGAAAUAUUCCUUUAACUUGAGACAUAACAAAUAUUUUUCUGACAAUUUGCUAUUUUACAACAUAGAAAUUGUUGUUCCUUCUGAAACUUAUAAGUAUUAGGUUUAAAUUAAUACAUUUGACCAACUUUGGAAUGUAAAAAUGUAAAUUACAAUCACGUAAAAUUGUGAUAUGGCUCAAAAUGUCUAAAGAUAUUGAGAACUAUGUAAGAAAUUGUGAAACUUGUCAAUUCAAUAGGCCAGCUAACCCGAAAGAGACUCUUGUACCACAUAAAACACCAGAAAGGGGGCGUCCAUAAAUUACGUGAGACAUUUUUUAGGAUUUUUCGACUCCCCACCCUCCUGAUGAGAUUUCGUAAGAUUUUUCUUUACUACCUCUCCCCCCUCCCCCAUUCUCACGUGAGAUUUUUUAUAAUGUGUUUUUGGCUGUAAAAUUCAUUGGAUUUGAAAAAAAUACAAAAAAAAAAAUUUGCUCUAUCACUUUUAUUAAAGACUAGUAUACAAUUGUGAUUUGAGAAUAUUGCCUUAGUUUAAAAUCACUGUGAUGAAAUUAAAUAAUAAAUACUUCAACGUAAAUUAAUAAGAGAUUAUUCUAAUUCAGUCCAUGGAGACUCGUGUACUCUCAAGAGUGUCUACUAGAACCAACGUAUUCAAAUAAUUUUCAAUGAAAUCAUCUGCUCCUUCAACUUCGUUCUGAUUGAGCCACUCCAAACCGUUGUCGCUUGCACACAGUCGCUUGUCUUGAAACAAUACGCGAUGGUCGCAAUUUAAGUGUUUGCACAUCUCGUGCAUGAUGAUGGAUGCGAAAUAGAUACCACAUGUAUUGCAGCAUCUCUUUUCUAUAUCGUGACGUAAACUUGGACAAUAGAGGUCAUCAUAAGGCAUGCUUGUGAAGGUGUGUAAUGGUUGAAUAGGUAGGCAGUGGCGAAUGAAGAAUGUUGCAAAUGUUUUUCCAUCAUGCUGUUCAGGAUCCGGAAUCGCCGGAUCUCCAUUAACUUGAAUGGGAUAUGGAGGUAAUAAAAAAAGAUCAUGUAAAGAACUCCGACGCGGAUUGCAGAUUGUUUUACCGUGGAGUCAAGAUGUGUCUCAAAAGAGUCAUGGGGAAGAACAACACCUGAUAGUUCUCGGCUAAGUGGAGCCAUGCGUCUCUCUACUCUAUUGAAAGCACUUCUGCCGGGGCAUUAGUCCCAAUGAAUAUUGUGUCAAAUUCAUAUUUUUUAAAAUGCUGUAUAGAAUGUACAAUUACUUUCCGAUAUCGCGGGUUCUCAUCGGGACCGCCAUCGUUCGAAAUAAUAAGGACAGGCUUCGUUUUUCAUUAAUUUACCAAAAGGCUGAAGAGUUAAAAGAGUGUCCAAGUCUUCAGCGUGACUAGUUGCAGUCGAAGACGAGUGCUUACCACUUCGGAUUGCUAUAUAUGUUGGUCCACUAUAUGAGACGGCUUCUGGCCGCCCCAUCUCAUUCGGUUUUACCUCACACAAAGCAUAGACACUCGGGAUCAAUUUAUGUCUUGCAGUAAUUAUAAAGUCGCGAUCUGGUAACGACACUUUAUACUCAACGUGCAUUAGCAAAGGCGCCUGUUUGUUUGCUGUUGUCAAUCCUAUGGGGACCCAUACUUUGUCAUCUUGGGAUAAAAAAGACAUAGAAUCAGGGCCAAGUAUUGAGGCUACAGUUUCUAGUGACCUUAUGGAAGCUACAGAAAAGUAUUGGUCUUGGUGCGCUUUAUGAUGGUCUGCUUCAGGACGACUCAACUUCACCGUUACAGUCACUACGUGGUGCUUAGCCUACCGCGUAUCUGCCCGUCUAGGCAACAGUCGAAUGUAAGCGGCGCUUCGAGAAAUAUUAAAUCCCAGCUCGAUAAGUUUUUCAGUGAGCAGCUCUAAAAGACUAUGGACACUAGGAACAAUUUCACAGCGACUCCGUUUCAGACUGCUCUUCCUCCAAGCGCGGACGUCUAGAGCUUGCUCGAGGUAUCAACGAUUUUGCUGCUCCAGGAUUUUUAGAACACAAUUCGAUAAUUUUUAUUUUUUCUAUGCUUCAUCGAGUAUACUCUUUGGUUCUCCUUAGGUUUGAGCUGUUUUUCAAAAUUAUCAAUUUCUUGCCGCAACUUCUCAUCUCAGAUCGUCGCUGAAUUUUCCGUUUUGUAGCACCUGUAGGGGAAAGAAAAAAUAAAGAAAAUGUCGCACAUACAAAAAAAAGGUAAACACUAACCUGCCAGUUGAGGUUCAUUAUCGUAAUCUUGAUCCAUGAGCCGCUGAUUACAGUGAGAAAUCUCAUUUUGAGUCACUGAUUCCUCAUUUUGAAUAAUCUUGAUGUUAAUUUCAGUUUAACUCGCGCAUUCUAAGUUUGACAUACCUUGAGCGCUUGUAUCAACUUGUGUUGAAACAUUAUUAGAGCUCCGAGUGUUUCCCUUGAAUAAAUAUAUCAUUAUAAAGACUCAAGAUUCACGAAUUAGAGACGUUUAGAACAAAAUUAUGCAUUUUUUAACUUUCCGCUAAGAUCUAUAUUUUUUUCUCCUCAGCACAAUCUCGAAAUAUAUUGUACAUAAAAUUAAAUUUCUCCUAUUUCUUAUUUCUUAGACCUUUUGAUAUAUCAAUGCAUUUAAAUUUUCUGAUUUUAGGUCUUUAAAAUAGCUAAAGAACAUAAAAUCAAGAACAUUUAGAUGAAUUAAAAUUAAAUUUAUAGCAUAAAUAAAUAAAUAGAGGUAUCUAACCUACCUUAGAGAGAGAGACCUUUUUUUCCGCUGCUGAUCAAUCUCAUGCUGAAUAUGUUUCACCAAAUCUUCUUUCUUUGGAUACUUUUGUUUUGCUGUGUUCCAUAACUUUACCACUUCUUCUUGACAGCAUUUCUUUGUCUUGUAGAUGUGUCUUUUAACGUAAGCAUUAUAAUAUUCUUGAAAACUCAUGUUUAAUCAUUAAAAUAGUAUCAAAAAAGUUGUUAAAUAAAAUAUUUGCGGGCAUCAACAAAGCAGGUUAUAGCACUUGUACUUGCGUCGUUGUUACUCGGCUCUUUACGCUGCGACAUUCAUCGAGUCGAGCGUAUCGAUACGGCUGGUCGAAAGCACAUAAACAAUCUGGGAGCUAUUGUGCUACUUUGCGGAGUUCGGGGUAGUACGACAAACACCAUUGUGUAAAAUUUCGCAUAUAUUUUUAUUCUAGAAAAAUUUCUUACUUCAAUUUAACUUUACUUUCACACAAUUCUACAUGGUUUUCUAUUGAAAAAAAAAAUACGUGAUAUUUGUUGAAACCUCCCUCUCCCCAAGUGAGAUCUGGAAAGAUUUAACUUGACCCCCUCCCCCUUUGAACACCUCACGGAACUUAUGGACGCCACCAAAGACCGUGGCAAAUAUUAUUUUCUGACUUUUUUGAUUACCAGUCCAAAAGCUAUUUGUUAAUUGUUGACAGCUACUCUCAUUGGUUGAAAGUUUUUCCUAUCCAAAAUAAAAAAGCUUUUUCUAUGAUCAAGCAUUGUAAGGAUUUGUUUUCUAAAUUUGGUGUUCCUGAUAUCUUCUAUGCUGAUAAUGUUCCCUAUAACAGUAUAGAAUUUAGAAAUUUUACUAAAUCAUAGAAUUUUGAUUUGGAAUUUUCUGUCCUUUUUUAUCACCAGUCAAAUAGUUUUGCAGAGAUAUAUGAAUGAAUAUCUCUAAAAACAUGAUUAAAAAAUGUAUAAUGUUUUCGAUGCAUCGAUUUAUAUCGAAUAUCCCUAGUCCUGUCAAGAGAUAGAAAAAAGAAGAAGAUAGCAAAGUGAUAAAAAACAUGGUAGCUUGAAAACCUGAUAAUGAAAGUGCUAAUAAAUAAAACUACUAGUUAAUAAAUAUGUUUUUAAUAAAUCAUAUAAAAAAAGAAAUUGAACAAUAAACAACGAAACAACAUGAAACAGUUGAUUGACUUGUAUGCAAAAUACAGGAAUGAAGUUGGUACUUUCAAAGUAAAAAUGGUUAAAAUUAUGAAGCUGAAGAAAGCCACAGAGUUUAAAAAUAUUAGCAUCCAAAUAACACCAACAUUAUGAAUUAGUGAAAGGUAGUAGAAAGAAGCUUCAGUACAUAUGCGGAUAACCAGAAUGAAACAGGUUGAAGUAGUAACUUGAAACUGAUUUGCCGACUAAGAUGUUAAAAUGCAAAUAGUAGAAAACAAGAUUAAUCGCAUUGAGUAUUUGCUCUUUGGAUGGAUCGAUAUGACUUGAUAAUCUUACUAAUCUCCUUUUAUUCAAUAUGUAGUAAGAAAGCUGCAAAUAAUUAUUUGUAUAGCUUCAGUACAAAUGUGCGCUCUGAGGUCGAGAGUUGGUUUCCUUCGAUUAAUUUCCUUCCAGACUCCAAAAUACAAGAACAAUGAAAAGGAAUUGACCGGCUGACUUAAGAAAUGGUUAAAAUGGACUGGAGAAGUCAUUAAAACGAUAGAUAGGAGCAAAAAAUGGAUUCCCUAUGUAAAAAUCAAGUUCAUUUCCUCCAAGGAAACCAAAAAAGAAUUGACCGGUUGGCUUAAGAAAUGGUUAAAAUGGAUUAGAAAAGUCCUUAUCACGAUAGAUGAGAGCAAAAAAUGGAUUCAUUAUGUAAAUUUGUACCGUUUGAAGGUGUUUUGGAGGUUAGUAUAUUUCCUGUGAUCUCAUAUUUUUAUUCUUAGUUCUUUCAUUAGCUCUAUUCACCAUAGUUUUUUCUCAGUUUUCAAUGGUGUAGUGUACAUGUCUUCAUUCUUAUAAUAUAUACAUAUCAAUUCAGCUGUAUCUUGUCUAAAUUUUUAUUGAUUUUUGUUUUAAUUAUUUUUCAAUUUCUAUAUUCUUUGUUUUAUCCUGAUUAAUUUUCUUUCGAAUGUUUAAUUAUCAUUGGGUUAAGAUAUGUUUUCUCUUUAUUGUCAUAUAUUCUGCUGUGUAGGUUAUAGUUGGUACUGUUGUAAAUUUAUUUGUUCUUUCAGCUGGUUUUCUGUCUUUUGUUGGUACCAUACUAAGGUAUCCUUAUGUCGUUAUUCUCCGUGAAGUUUUAGCUUCAGAUUUGGUUUCUUUUGAUUUACAUUUAUUAUUUCAACUUUAGUUUUGUCAUUUUUCUUAUUUCUAAGGAUCAGACAUCCAUUAAUUUUUGGAUUCUAUUUUUAAAAUUUACUAUAACAUUAUAUCGUCUGCAAAUAUCAGCAUUUUUAUAGGUUAUGUUUUUAUAUUCAAUUGUAUUCAGAUCUUCACAUUUUUUUAAUAUAUUUGAAUCUAUCUCUCCUAGGAGUGACCAUCCCAAAUGAUCUUGCGGGCCAAGAAAAUAGAAAAAAAAGCCAAUCUGUAUACAAAUAAUACAAUAAGUUAUUGUGUUGAUAUUUCGGCGAGCCACACAUAAAAUUAUAUUAGUAUUAGGGGCGUUCUACUUUUCUACCGACAAUCUGAGUGAUAAAUUUUUUGAUUUUUUAAAAAAAUAAAAGUGUAUUUCUUUUAUAAUAUGUAUUUUUACAUCAUUGUCCAGUUAUCAAAGAUUUCAUAAAUGUAUAAUGCAUCGAAGUUUUAUUUUAUAUCUUUUAUUUAUUUUAAGUUUUAUCGGAAUAGUAAGAAAAAAUAAACACCUCAGUCACAAAAAAAAA